GACGAACGCUGGCGGCGUGCCUAAUACAUGCAAGUGGGACGCAAGGACACACACUGUGCUUGCACACCGUGUUUUCUUGAGUCGCGAACGGGUGAGUAACGCGUAGGUAACCUGCCUAUUAGCGGGGGAUAACUAUUGGAAACGAUAGCUAAUACCGCAUAAUAUUAAUUAUUGCAUGAUAAUUGAUUGAAAGAUGCAAGCGCAUCACUAGUAGAUGGACCUGCGUUGUAUUAGCUAGUUGGUAAGGUAAGAGCUUACCAAGGCGACGAUACAUAGCCGACCUGAGAGGGUGAUCGGCCACACUGGGACUGAGACACGGCCCAGACUCCUACGGGAGGCAGCAGUAGGGAAUCUUCGGCAAGGGACGAAAGUCUGACCGAGCAACGCCGCGUGAGUGAAGAAGGUUUUCGGAUCGUAAAGCUCGGUUGUAAGUCAAGAACGUGUGUGAGAGUGGAAAGUUCACACAGUGACGGUAGCUUACCAGAAAGGGACGGCUAACUACGUG
This 505-nucleotide ribosomal RNA is filed under the name uncultured bacterium. RNAcentral's name for it is "partial 16S ribosomal RNA". It matches the Rfam family "Bacterial small subunit ribosomal RNA", at positions 28 to 507 of the family's 1533-position model. The record is from RNAcentral.